UACGUAGGUGGCAAGCGUUGUCCGGAUUUAUUGGGUUUAAAGGGUGCGUAGGCGGCUUUGUAAGUCAGUGGUGAAAUAUGGCAGCUCAACUGUCAGGGUGCCAUUGAUACUGCGGAGCUUGAGUACAGAUGAGGUAGGCGGAAUUUAUGGUGUAGCGGUGAAAUGCAUAGAUACCAUAAAGAACUCCUAUUGCGAAGGCAGCUUACUAGGCUGUAACUGACGCUGAGGCACGAAAGCGUGGGGAUCAAACAGG
RNAcentral lists this ribosomal RNA (253 nucleotides) under uncultured bacterium. RNAcentral describes it as "partial 16S ribosomal RNA". It matches the Rfam family "Bacterial small subunit ribosomal RNA", at positions 524 to 776 of the family's 1533-position model. The record is from RNAcentral.